AUGCUUUGCACUCGCUGGGGCGCUCAUUGCGCGCUGAAAAUCUCAGGGGCAUCCGUUGUUGCUGUGGCGGUCGCCUAGUAUUUUCGCGCUCCUCCCUUUCCUCCUCCUCUUUCUCCUCCUCCUCUGAGCCCCAGUCAGGCCGAUCUGCACUGCUCUAGGUAAGCGGCCCCCGCCCCCGCCUGUGCCCUGAGGCAGCGGCUCUCUGAUGUGUCUGUGAGGGCAGCGGUGGCUGCCCAGCUCUGAGGGCAGCGGGCUGAGGGUCGAGAUGCGGAGCGGGUAUCCGGUAUUGAUUAGGUGGCGGGGGAGGGGAUGGGCUUGGCGGCGCUACGGCGGGUGGGCCACCAUUUUGCGUCGGCCUUAGAGGGGGAGGGAUCUUGGAAAGAUAGCUGCUCCGCGGCGAGGUUUGGCCGCCCAAGGCGGGUCGCGGUCUCGUGGGCAGCUGUCUACUGGAACAGGGCCGCGCGGGCCACAGUCGCCACCCCCUCACCACCAGAGGCCUGUGAGUUUCUCCAUCCCCAGCUUGCUUUUGGCUUUUCUUUCUGGAGACAACUCCCUUUGGUCUUUUGUACGAUUGAUGCCAAGGUUUGGCGGAGACCCGCCCACCCCCCAGUCUGUUCAAUGGUGGGAAAUACUAGGGGGCAUCUGAACUUUCAGGCAUCAGGGCUCCUUCGUACUGCCUAGGAUCUCCCUCCUCUCGACCCAGGUUACCAGUAAUUCCAGGCUCACACCCUUGUUCUUGCCGGAGGGACUGCCUUUCCUCUGUCAUAGAAAUCGUGCUCCAUCCCGUUAUUGUCUAGAGGAUAUGAGCCCGGAGGAGAAACGUGGAGUUACACGGUUUUCUAACAGUGAGCUGUGCAGGUUUUUCAUAAUGAGAUGGAAAAAAUUAUCUCAUUCCGAGGUUUUCUUCACAAACCUAUAAAGAGGAGGGAGUUCCUAUUAACUUAACUAAACUUUUUAUGCUUUUUUAAGGAGAAAUUUGAGGACAUUGUCAAGUGAAGCAGUUUCUACAAGCAUGGGAGACCUUCAUCCAUGGAAUUUUCUUUGUUUGAAAAUAUUUGUUUUGUACAUAGAUUUUAAUCUGAAAAUAAAUUCUUGGCUUUAUUGUUUCAGGGUUUGGACUAGGAGUUUUUAGAUCUUUUAGUGUCAUUAAACAUAAAUUUAAAGCCUAGAAAUGGGAUUUUAAAUUACAAAAAUAUCCUUUUAGCAUUUGUGAGGUGUCCUGCUUUGGGGCUGCAGUGCAAAUUGUGACUCAAGCAGAAACUACACUGAGCCUAUGAAGGCAGGGUUUGCUUUAUUUUAUAUAUUUUUUAUGUUUUGUGGUGCUGGGGAUUGAACCCAGGGCCUUAUGCAUGCAAGGCAGACCUACCAAGCUGUAUCCCCAGCCUGGCAGGGUUUGCUUAUCAGUACAAAUUCUAUUAAAAUUAUAUCAUAUUUGUAUAUUUCAUUGAAGCCCUUUUUGAGGUGGGGUGUUGAUGGAACUGUUGUUUUUUGGUUGGUUGGUUCUGGGUGUUUUGUUUUUGUUUUUGUGAUACUAGGGGUUCAGCCCAAGGACAUUGUACCACUGAGCUUCAUCUCUGCCCCCCCCCCUUUUUUUUGAGACAGGGUCUCUCUAAGUUGCCCAGGCUGUUCUUGAAAUUGAGAUCCUUCUGCCUCAGCCUUCUGAGUCACUAGGAUUACAGGUGUGUGGUCACCACACCUGGCAAUAGAACUAUUAAAAAAAAUUUUUUUAGUUAUACAUGGAUACAGUAUCUUUAUUUUGUUUAUUUAUUUUUUAUGUGGUGCUGAGGAUCAAACCAGUGCUUCCAGAGGGCUCUGCCACUGAGCCACACCCCAGCCCCAAUAGAACUAUUUUGAAGGUGAGAAAAUAGCCUCAAGGAGAGGAAUUGAGCAGGGUUAUGUGGUUUGGAAGCAGAACUAAUUCUUGAGCGGUGGUCUCUGACCCUCAUCCAAUGCUCAGUUCACUAAAUUAUGCCCUGCUCUAUGGGAGUGGGGGGCGGGGUGGAGAGUAAGCGAGAAGGUUCACCUUAAAAAUUCUACAAAAUAUUAUUCAAUUUCAAUUCCCUUCUCCUUUAUAUUUUUAAGAUGCCAUGUUUUCAGCCUUUUAGUAUUUCAAUAUUAUUUCCAAACAUGUUGAAAAAUAACCUAUUGAAAAAGUUCUGAUAUUGAAGAACUCCAAAUCUCAGCUUUUUCUGUUUAAUUUAUUUCUUCCAGUUAAAUUUUCUAGUCCAGUCUUGAUUUUUCAGUCCAGCGUUUUACUCUGCACCAUUGUCUUUUUUAGAAGGAAAGAGAAAGGUAAGACCAAGGGCUUUAUAAUUCCAUACCCUCCUUCCCUCCCACUUGUUUUGUUUUCUUUUUUUCAGGAGGACGUUUAGAACCAUUCCAAGAUUUUAUGUGUGUGUGUGUGGUGCUGAGGAAACCAGAGCCUGUGCAUGCUAGGCAAGCGCUAUACCUCUGAGCUACGACCCCAGCCCACCAAGAAUUUUUUGUUGCUGUUAUACUAAUUGGGAAGAGGAAAUCCUAAAUCGAAUAACAUUUUUUGUAAAUAGAAAGUAUUCUAUAGCUUUAAAAAGUGAUAGAUAGGAUAUUGAAAAUUUAUAUUGAAAAUAUUUCACUACUCAAAAGUAACUUUUCAAAGACCAGAAAUAUUUAUUGUUUAUAUUCACUAAUUAGACAUAUAGCCCUGAAUACUUUUUCUGUCUUCCUACUUUGGAGAAGAACUUAAUAUUUGGUUUUUAGUCAGGUUGUUUUAAGUAAUGAUUCAUAAAGACUUGAUUUUCUCAGUAAUUUGAAUAAAAUGUGUCCAGACUUUUAAAAAUUCAUUCUCUGCAAAGUUGUUUUCUUUUAAAGAGUGUUUCACCUUCAGUAUAUCCAUU
This 2873-nucleotide long non-coding RNA is filed under the name Marmota monax (woodchuck). Lineage: Eukaryota; Metazoa; Chordata; Mammalia; Rodentia; Sciuridae. The record is from RNAcentral.